This 540-nucleotide ribosomal RNA is filed under the name uncultured bacterium. RNAcentral's name for it is "bacterial SSU rRNA". It matches the Rfam family "Bacterial small subunit ribosomal RNA", at positions 767 to 1308 of the family's 1533-position model. The record is from RNAcentral.
AGCUAAUAGAUACCCGGGUAGUCCACGCCCUAAACGAUGUCUACUAGUUGUUGGUGGAGUAAAAUCCAUGAGUAAACGCAGCUAAACGCGUGAAGUAGACCGCCUGGGGAGUACGGUCGCAAGAUUAAAAACUCAAAGGAAUUGACGGGGGCCCGCACAAGCGGUGGAUUAUGUGGAUUAAAUUCGAUGCAACGCGAAAAACCUUACCUGGCCUUGACAUGCCACUAACGAAGCAGAGAUGCAUUAGGUGCCCGUAAGGGAAAGUGGACACAGGUGCUGCAUGGCUGUCGUCAGCUCGUGUCGUGAGAUGUUGGGUUAAGUCCCGCAACGAGCGCAACCCUUGCCAUUAAUUGCCAUCAUUUAGUUGGGCACUUUAAUGGGACUGCCGGUGACAAACCGGAGGAAGGUGGGGAUGACGUCAAGUCCUCAUGGCCCUUAUGGCCAGGGCUUCACACGUAAUACAAUGGUCGGUACAGAGAGUUGCCAACCCGCAGGGGAGCUAAUCUCAGAAAGCCGAUCGUAGUCCGGAUUGUUCUCUGC